UGGGGAAUAUUGCNCAAUGGGGGAAACCCUGAUGCAGCGACGCCGCGUGAGCGAUGAAGUAUUUCGGUAUGUAAAGCUCUAUCAGCAGGGAAGAAAUGACGGUACCUGACUAAGAAGCCCCGGCUAACUACGUCGCC
Molecule: ribosomal RNA, 137 nt
Filed under: uncultured bacterium
Lineage: Bacteria
Description: partial 16S ribosomal RNA
Rfam family: Bacterial small subunit ribosomal RNA
Source: RNAcentral